RNAcentral lists this long non-coding RNA (844 nucleotides) under Aquilegia coerulea. RNAcentral's name for it is "long non-coding RNA (ACOE_LNC000803)". Lineage: Eukaryota; Viridiplantae; Streptophyta; Magnoliopsida; Ranunculales; Ranunculaceae. The record is from RNAcentral.
CAAUAUAUAACUUGAGUGUUUAUACAAGAUAAUCUAUAUUCGACCGACGUUAGGAGGUCCUUUAAGCGUCGUUAGGAGGUCCUUUAAGCGUCGAGUGGGACUGAAACUCAUGUCUGUCCCUGACUUUUUUGAUUUAUUUUGUCCGACUUAUUUUCAAUUUUUAAAAUUCUUUUUUUUUCCACUGCUUUUUAAUUUUCUGUGACCGUCUUUUUUUGUUUUUUUUUUAAAUCCCUGUUGUUUGUUUUUUUUUCUUUUCUCUUCCUCUCCUCCCCUAACGUCGGUCUUCACCGUUAUCACGGUUCUAUAUUACUAUGCUGCCACAAAUACAAUGGUACAGUAUCAUAAAAUAUUUACUAUCUCAACAAUAAUACGACUAUAACAAAAAGCUGACUUUCAGCCAGUACUUGUAAGAGGACCUCUGUGUCAUUCCCAUAUCAUCGCCCCAUUGGAACCCAAACUAAGAUUAGGAUGAAAGGGUGAAAAGUUGAGGAAGUCCAUCCCACUUUCUUGAACUUGUGAAGGAAGACUCAUAAACAUGGCUCAUCUUGCUGCUACCACCACCCACUACUGCUACUCUACCUGUUUUGGUAGUACUGGUCUCUUUAGGUUGUUGCACUUUGACAGUGGCUGCUAGUGGUAGUGAAGUAUUACCAUCUUUUGUAAGAGGCAAUUGAGAAGGUGGAAGCAAAUCUAUAGGAAAGAAAUAAUAGAGUUGGGUAGCCAUUGAGUAGAAUUAGCAAAAAAAGGUAUACAAGACAAAGCUUGAUUAUAUUGGCAGAAGGUAGUUAGAUCGAUGGAGUUAGUUGUACUAAGUUUUCUAUGUUUGAUUGGCAGAGGGAGGGAG